AAAUCCGAAGCGAAGGGUUGCCGUUAAGCCUAUGUCUCGGGUCUUCGGGAAAAGCUGAUAGGAGAUGUCGGUCGGUGUCGAGACGAGUUGGAGAUGCACACACGUUGUCAAGUAAUAACGCAGGUGCCUUUAGGUAACCUCAGCGAGGACUGAAACCUCGCGUAGAGCAAGAGGACAAAAGCUAGCUUUGAACCCGAUGCUCUCUGCGAAAGCACGGCUUAUCGAUCUUUUGGCUUCAAGAAUUUUCAGCAAGAGGUGUCAGAAAAGUUACAAAGGAUCCUGGAUUGUGGCGGCCAAGCGUUCAUGGCGAGGCUGCUUGUUGAUCCUUCGAUGUCGGUUCUUCCUAUCAUUGCGAAGCAGAAUUCGCCAAGCAUCGGAUUGGUCACCAGCCAAUAGGGAAUGGAAGCUGGGUUUAUACUGUCGAGAAACAGUUCAUUUUACGCUUCUGUUGAUACAUCAUUGCUAUAGUAAUCCUCUUUAGUACGAGAGGAACCGCAGGUUCGAUCAAUUAAUUGGUUCAUCCACUCGGUCGACAGGUUACCUUCAUGGGAUUAUGCCUGAUCGCCUCAAAGGCCGAAUCCUGGCUGUGAGCAAUGAUACGCUGUAUGUCUCGUUUGUCGGAAGACCCAAAAUCAUGCGACUUUAAUAGGCUUCUCGUUUAAGGGCCAUCGCAGAAGCCAAGUGACGAAAGACCGAGAACAAGUGGACAAACGUGUUGCAAAGACGAUCGAGCCUUUGUAUCGAAGGGAGAAAGACGUCACCUCGAAGGGUACUCUUAAUUCUUCAUCGACAGCUUU
This 797-nucleotide unclassified non-coding RNA is filed under the name Cimex lectularius (bed bug). RNAcentral's name for it is "Eukaryotic large subunit ribosomal RNA". It matches the Rfam family "Eukaryotic large subunit ribosomal RNA", at positions 2540 to 3401 of the family's 3401-position model. Lineage: Eukaryota; Metazoa; Arthropoda; Insecta; Hemiptera; Cimicidae. The record is from Rfam by way of RNAcentral.